GUCUCUGUAGCGCAGGGGAUAGCGCGCUGGACUUCUAAUCCCGAGGUCGUGGGUUCGAAUCUUACCAGGGAUG
Molecule: transfer RNA, 73 nt
Filed under: Octopus vulgaris (common octopus)
Lineage: Eukaryota; Metazoa; Mollusca; Cephalopoda; Octopoda; Octopodidae
Also listed under: 1 other name
Rfam family: tRNA
About the family: Transfer RNA (tRNA) molecules are approximately 80 nucleotides in length. Their secondary structure includes four short double-helical elements and three loops (D, anti-codon, and T loops).
Source: Rfam by way of RNAcentral